This is a long non-coding RNA of Oryzias melastigma (Indian medaka), 3941 nucleotides long. RefSeq lists it as uncharacterized. The transcript is spliced from 4 exons. The record is from RefSeq and is a predicted model, not a curated record. Lineage: Eukaryota; Metazoa; Chordata; Actinopteri; Beloniformes; Adrianichthyidae.
AACAUUCUGCAAACAGCUUUUGCAUUUUCAGCAAAUACCUUCAACAAUUAAAGUAAAUUGCGUCACAAUUUUCAACAAAAAGCUUCAGCAUCUUCAGCCACCACUUUCUGCAGAAAACAUUCACACCAACAUCAUCGCAGGAUGAUGCGCCGCUCCUCCUCGGUCAGGUGGCUCAGGUCCGGCAGGUCUGACCCGCUCCCGGUCCCAGCCCCGCCGGGCGGCGCAGGUCCGGCCGCUCGAGACAUCCUCGGAACCGCUGGAAGAGACGGACGCGGCCGGUCAGACCGUCACACCACUGAUGAGGCGGGAUGAUGAUGAUGGUGAUGGGGGGGCGAGGAUGGGAGGCUGUAACAUUUUGUCCACCUCCAGGUGCGCGUGCGGCGCCGCGCGAGCCCCGCGGAAGGAGCUCCAUCUGCGCCUCCGCCCGCCAUCAUAUCACCCACCGGUUUAUCCCCUCAUCCAUCCAUCAUCUAUGCAUCAUCCACACCCUCCCUCUCUCUCACCGACAGGCGCAGCGGUGUCCUCUUGCCUGUUUAUUCUGCAGUCAUGUCGCCUCCUCCGGUGUUCGGCAGCGGCGGCGGCGGCUCCGGUCGGCUCCGCGUCCCGGCGCUCAUCCUCCCCCCGCGCCCCGCCUCCGCUGUGGCGCUACCCCGCCGCGGGUCGUCGAGUCGUGUCGGCGGUGGUGGUUCGUGGGAGAGCGGCGGAGACGGAGGAGAAAAUAAAUAAAUCCUCCAUAGAAAAAGGGGCGGGGCCACGCGGUGACGGCGUUACGUACGACAAAGAUCAGCAGGUCGUUGACGGGUGGGCAAUGGUGGUGGAGGUGCGGGGGUGGAGGGAGGGAGGGAGGGAGGCUAAACAUAGACCUGCAGCCAAAGAUAGAAAUACUACCGAACACCUUCAACUGUCCGCGUCUGGAUGUUUAAAUAAAGUUUUUCUAAAAAAAGAAAAAUAUUAUUAGAACGCCUAAAUAUAGCUCAAAGAUGAAGGAAAAUUCAGCCUAGUUUAUAGAAUAGAAUAGAAUAGAAUAGAAUAGAAUAGAAUGAGCACAUUAACAUUAAAUCCCAUCUGUAAAUCUGUGGUUUCACGAAAUUAACAACACGGUCAUUGGGGAAUUGCUCCCUCUAAUGGUCAAAUAUGGUAUAAAUCCAAUUGUAAACAAAAAUUCAUUUGCAUAAAUUAAAAUUAGCUUUGAGUAUUUUCACCAUUUAUAUUAAUAAUAUUAAUUAUAAGUGAUUUUUAUACCAGAAUUUGGAGAAGGUCAUACAUUAUAUAACACAUUUUUUUGCUAAUUCCAUGUAAACAAAAACAUAUUACUUCAGUAUACUUCAUUUAAUCCAAAAAUAUGUUAUUUUUCAACAUUUAAAUGUUUUUUCUUUAGACACCUUUACAUUACAGAGUUAUUCUUUUUCUCAAUUAAUUUUGAUACAAGUUAAUACUUACCCAAUUUUUUAAUGAUUUGGAUCUACAGAUAUGAUGUACACAGAACAUUAUUGUUAUUGCACAUGCUGAUUAAAUUAAAUUACCCCAAUUCCAGUCAAACAUUGAAAUAAUUUUUGAUUUAUUCUGCCCCAAUUUAACCCUGGAGAGCUAUCGCUGGAGGAUUUUUACCCGAGCAAAAGUAUUUACAUGAUUUUUCAUAUGUUACAUUUUUCCCUGGAUAAAGUCUCACUUGUCCUAGGAAUGGAUUGACCAAAUGCCAAGUUACCGGUAUCGUUAUUUUAAUUUUUGAUUCUCGUUUGGGACUUUUUUGUUCUCAAAUUCCUAUUUUUUCAGUAAUUUUGAAUGUUUUUAGGAUCUUCCAAUGCUUUUUUUUAAAUUUUGUUACAUAUAACACAAUUGAAAAUAAAAUAAAACUAAUUUAUCAUGUAUUGUCAUAUUUUGAUCUGGUUUUAUGACAAAUGGGGGAGCAUAUAAUAUCAGGUAAAAAUUACCCAACAAAAGUGAUGCUGUAACUUUUAUAGUGAAAGUGUUCUAAGGUUAAUUAAGUGUUUGUUUGUUUUUUAAUUUAGUGGCUUUCCUAAUUUGACUUUACUUUGUUAUAUGCGCUAAAAUGAAUAGAUCUUAUUUAAGAUCCUUUAAAUCAUUUCAUCAAACUGGAAGGCCUGUAUCACUGCACUUACUUGUUGGGGACGAUAGAUGGCAGUAUUGCGCUAAUCUACACUAACGUUAAAAAGUUACUUUGGUCCUUAUCUCUAAUUAUUUACUGUACUAAUAGUUUUAAAUUGUCUAUCAACCUUCGAGAAAAUUAACGCAGUUAAAAAAAAAUACCAAAAAAAAACUGUCCUUAACUUAUUUGGCUCCUCACUGUACUUUAGCGAAGUAUUAAUAAAAUUAAAAUCAGAAUUUCCUUUGUACUGUCACGUAUGCACAAUAAAACUAUGGUGCUCUCCAGGUGCUUUAAAAUAUAUAAAAGUCCGUUUUAAAAAUAAAAACACAUUUUUUAAAAAUCAGAAAAUAUAAGAGCAACAAUAUUUACAUCCAGAAUGAUAAUAUUAGACCGCACAGGUGACCAUAGAGUAAUGUAGGAUUGCAUAUGUGAAUUAUAAAUACAUUUUAAAAAUUGUGGGAGAAGAUAAAAGAAACUCCUCUAUUGAUUCAGAUCUAAAGACAUCAGAUAACAAGAAGGAUCUGAAUAUUCCAUGUCCUCCUCAUAUAUGGAUGUUUUCUCCGGUCACUCCAGUUCUUCCCACAGUCCAAAAACAGAUUUCAUAGGUUAACUGAUUAUUCUAAAUUAAGCACCAGCUCAGGAUGUGCCCCAACUUUACCCAACAGCUGAGAUAGGCUCCAGCAACGCCACGUCUCCAUGAGGGACUCAGUGGGUUCUGAAGAUGGAUCAGCGUCCAAACUGUGAAGAACAAGAAGGAAUUGUUUGUACUUCCUGUUUUAUUUUGAAAAAUCUUUUGCUUCCUGUCUGUGUUUACAGUAGUUAGAUAUAACAUAUGCUCACAUUUAACUAGACACUUCAAACUCUCUUUCUAUCAGCUGAAUUUUGAAACAUUUUCAUUUUUUCUUCUGUUCAUGUUUGAGUUUAAGACAUUUAUUUAAUAUAUAUUUUUUACUUAAACUUUAAUUUUCUGCCUUUUCUUUUCUGCGUUUGCAUGUUGAGGAAGCAUCCCUCAGUUGAAGUCUGAUUUUGAAGGAGUUAAUUCAAUGUUUAUGAACUUUACAAAUGUAAUGUAACACAAAAUUGUCAUUUAGUGUGAUUAAUAACGUCUAAAAGUAAUGUUUAACAAUUUUUCAUGUUAACAGGCCUCAUUACCUCUGAGGGAUGUUGACUCCAGCUCUCUGAAGGGGAUCAGUGUGAUGUCAUCAUGUGAUCAUGUGAUGCAUAAUUCAGACUUAAGAGGAUUAUUGUGUGGUUUUUUUUUCCUCUUAAAUGUAUUUGCUUGUUUUGUUUGUUUGAUCCAGGACGAAGCGUAAACCUGCAGACGUCUGUUUUCCGAUGAGAGGACAGAUGACCAGCAGCCGGCCGACAGAUGAAGCUGAAGGCGUGCGCGGUUUUCCUUCUGCUGGGCUGUUUCCUGUGGAGGGUGGCGUGCAGGAUGCCUGACUUCACUCCUGCUGCGCCAACGCUGCAGGAAAACUUGUCUGUGAAAUCAGGAUCAAACGUUGUCACAUCCAUAAAGAAAAAUGGUUUCUUGCGGCUUCCUGGAAUCUGUCGACGACUGAAGAGAAGAAGAGUCACAGUCCUGUGUAACAUGGAGAAAUUUUGUUGGGGGCGGAGCCGUAACAGAAGACAGAAAAUCACACCUGGGCAGGUGUGUCGCUGCCCUCGGCAUUCCAAGUGUUCACAUUUUUUUCUCCACAGCCUCUGAAUAAAGAUAAUAAUGAUUUUAAAAAUACAACACUUAUCUUAUAUUAAAGGUAAUUUGUUUGGCCUUUUUGUUGUUGGUGGUUUUCGUUUAUAUAUUUGUGUUGAUUGCUUGAAAUGAACCAAUAAA